Molecule: unclassified non-coding RNA, 479 nt
Filed under: Hevea brasiliensis (rubber tree)
Lineage: Eukaryota; Viridiplantae; Streptophyta; Magnoliopsida; Malpighiales; Euphorbiaceae
Source: RNAcentral
AUUUCAUCGGGUCCACAGGCUUUAUUCACUUUCAUUCUCUUAAGUGCUUUUUUUACUUCUAAAGAUCUAAUAUGUAUGCAGCGGGAUAUGGUUAUUUGCUUUGUAAAGGAGGCUCAAGCAAAACAAUUUAGCAAUUCUAGAGUAUUCUAUUCACUCAAUAUAUGUAAUGCAUUCAAUAUGAGUUGGAUAGCGGGAAUACAACGAAUUUUGAUUUCAAAGUUUCAUUUUUGGUUAGGUAAUUUGAUGACUGUUAUGUGCUUGUGUGUGGAGACACUCUGUUUCUUCUUUCCGUUGAUAUGAUUGAUGUCUGUGGGAAAGAUUGUCUAAAUUUCCUAGGUUCUAAGAAAAUUUCACAUCCUUUUGUGCCGAUUAUGUUCUUUUUUGCUUUCGACAACAGUUUUGAAUGUACAUUUUGAUUAUAAUAUAUUCUAAACUUCCCUAUUUUUGUUUUGUUUGGUUUCCGUAGAGCUGGAUAUAUG